CUCAUACUAUGCGUAGCCUACCUACAUUUAAAACGAAUUGUUGACGCCUCAAGGUGAAAACUUGUGUCGGAAGUCAACGCCCUCAUCCGUCUGCGGGGGACUUUUAUUUAACAACUUCCUGUCCGUCAGUUUGCCAGUACGUGUUGUUCUGUUCUCGAAUCUGGAUUAGACGCCGCUGCGCUCGCUCUCAAAACCCAAAUUUAACGAAGAUUUAUCAGUGUUUUUCAACUUCAUCAGCAUACCACCGAUAUUUAAUUUAAUAAACAUGGACCAGAUGGAAGACCCCGCUGGAUCAGAUAAUAAACGAGCUAUAGAGCGGAAAAGGAGUUGAAGAUGCCAAAGGAAGACUUCAGAGAGAACAAGCUUUCAACAUCCAUCACUUCGUCCCUCCUCUCAUCCCCUAAACAUCAGACACCGGUGGAAACGGCCUUGGUUUAGCCAGAGACCUCCCCCCAAUACUCCAUUUAAGUCCAGCAGUUUCAUCACAAGCGUUUCGAUGGGAGGUAAUGAAGGAGGUGGACGGGGAGGAGAGCGAUGGAGCCUCUUCGGGGUGCGGCCUGUCGUGCAGAAAUCCCCCACUGACCCAGGAUCAGAAACCAACAAACCUG
This is a long non-coding RNA of Carassius carassius (crucian carp), 608 nucleotides long. RefSeq lists it as uncharacterized. The record is from RefSeq and is a predicted model, not a curated record. NCBI's taxonomy places the organism in Eukaryota, Metazoa, Chordata, Actinopteri, Cypriniformes, Cyprinidae. The transcript has 3 exons.